GACGAACGCUGGCGGCGUGCUUAACACAUGCAAGUCGAACGGAAAGGCUCCAGCUUGCUGGAGUACUCGAGUGGCGAACGGGUGAGUAACACGUGGGUAAUCUGCCCUGCACUCUGGGAUAAGCCUGGGAAACUGGGUCUAGUACUGGAUAUGACCUUUCUCCUUAUGGGGUUUGGUGGAAAGUUUUUCGGUGUAGGAUGAGCCCGCGGCCUAUCAGCUUGUUGGUGGGGUGAUGGCCUACCAAGGCGACGACGGGUAGCCGGCCUGAGAGGGUGAUCGGCCACAUUGGGACUGAGAUACGGCCCAGACUCCUACGGGAGGCAGCAGUGGGGAAUAUUGCACAAUGGGCGGAAGCCUGAUGCAGCGACGCCGCGUGAGGGAUGACGGCCUUCGGGUUGUAAACCUCUUUCAGCAGGGACGAAGCGUAAGUGACGGUACCUGCAGAAGAAGCACCGGCUAACUACGU
This 466-nucleotide ribosomal RNA is filed under the name uncultured bacterium. RNAcentral's name for it is "partial 16S ribosomal RNA". It matches the Rfam family "Bacterial small subunit ribosomal RNA", at positions 28 to 506 of the family's 1533-position model. The record is from RNAcentral.